UCGUAACAAGGUCUCCGUUGGUGAACCAGCGGAGGGAUCAUUACCGAGUUAUACAACUCCCAAACCCACUGUGAACCUUACCUCAGUUGCCUCGGCGGGAACGCCCCGGCCGCCUGCCCCCGCGCCGGCGCCGGACCCAGGCGCCCGCCGCAGGGACCCCAAACUCUCUUGCAUUACGCCCAGCGGGCGGAAUUUCUUCUCUGAGUUGCACAAGCAAAAACAAAUGAAUCAAAACUUUCAACAACGGAUCUCUUGGUUCUGGCAUCGAUGAAGAACGCAGCGAAAUGCGAUAAGUAAUGUGAAUUGCAGAAUUCAGUGAAUCAUCGAAUCUUUGAACGCACAUUGCGCCCGCCAGCAUUCUGGCGGGCAUGCCUGUUCGAGCGUCAUUUCAACCCUCGAGCCCCCCCGGGGGCCUCGGUGUUGGGGGACGGCACACCAGCCGCCCCCGAAAUGCAGUGGCGACCCCGCCGCAGCCUCCCCUGCGUAGUAGCACACACCUCGCACCGGAGCGCGGAGGCGGUCACGCCGUAAAACGCCCAACUUUCUUAGAGUUGACCUCGGAUCAGGUAGGAAUACCCGCUGAACCUAAGCAUAUCA
This 597-nucleotide unclassified non-coding RNA is filed under the name Purpureocillium lilacinum. RNAcentral describes it as "sequence contains 18S rRNA gene, ITS1, 5.8S rRNA gene, ITS2, 28S rRNA gene". The stretch from base 233 to 386 matches the Rfam family "5.8S ribosomal RNA". Lineage: Eukaryota; Fungi; Ascomycota; Sordariomycetes; Hypocreales; Ophiocordycipitaceae. The record is from RNAcentral.